RNAcentral lists this unclassified non-coding RNA (310 nucleotides) under plant metagenome. RNAcentral's name for it is "partial contains 5.8S ribosomal RNA, internal transcribed spacer 2, and large subunit ribosomal RNA". The stretch from base 1 to 105 matches the Rfam family "5.8S ribosomal RNA", at positions 50 to 154 of the family's 154-position model. The record is from RNAcentral.
GAAAUGCGAUAAGUAGUGUGAAUUGCAGAAUUCAGUGAAUCAUCGAAUCUUUGAACGCACAUUGCGCCCCUUGGUAUUCCAUGGGGCAUGCCUGUUCGAGCGUCAUUUGUACCCUCAAGCUCUGCUUGGUGUUGGGUGUUUGUCCCCGUCUCCGCGCGUGGACUCGCCCCAAAGUGAUUGGCAGCCGGCGUACUGGUCCCGGAGCGCAGCACACGUCGCGCAAACGAGUGCCUUGGUACGGCGGCGUCCAUAAGCCCCUCUCUCACGCUCUUGACCUCGGAUCAGGUAGGGAUACCCGCUGAACUUAAGC